GAUGAACGCUGGCGGCGUGCCUAAUACAUGCAAGUCGAGCGAAUGGAUUAAGAGCUUGCUCUUAUGAAGUUAGCGGCGGACGGGUGAGUAACACGUGGGUAACCUGCCCAUAAGACUGGGAUAACUCCGGGAAACCGGGGCUAAUACCGGAUAACAUUUUGAACCGCAUGGUUCGAAAUUGAAAGGCGGCUUCGGCUGUCACUUAUGGAUGGACCCGCGUCGCAUUAGCUAGUUGGUGAGGUAACGGCUCACCAAGGCAACGAUGCGUAGCCGACCUGAGAGGGUGAUCGGCCACACUGGGACUGAGCCACGGCCCAGACUCCUACGGGAGGCAGCAGUAGGGAAUCUUCCGCAAUGGACGAAAGUCUGACGGAGCAACGCCGCGUGAGUGAUGAAUGCUUUCGGGUCGUAAAACUCUGUUGUUAGGGAAGAACAAGUGCUAGUUGAAUAAGCUGGCACCUUGACGGUACCUAACCAGAAAGCCACGGCUAACUACGUGCCAGCAGCCGCGGUAA
This 515-nucleotide ribosomal RNA is filed under the name uncultured bacterium. Its description in RNAcentral is "partial 16S ribosomal RNA". It matches the Rfam family "Bacterial small subunit ribosomal RNA", at positions 28 to 523 of the family's 1533-position model. The record is from RNAcentral.